Molecule: regulatory RNA element, 56 nt
Organism: Pimelobacter simplex
Lineage: Bacteria; Bacillati; Actinomycetota; Actinomycetes; Propionibacteriales; Nocardioidaceae
Rfam family: L17-Actino-Proteobacteria ribosomal protein leader
Source: Rfam
CCCGGUACCUCGUACGGCCGGGACGACUGCCCCGGUACCUGACACGGCCGGGGAAG